This 279-nucleotide ribosomal RNA is filed under the name uncultured bacterium. RNAcentral's name for it is "partial 16S ribosomal RNA". It matches the Rfam family "Bacterial small subunit ribosomal RNA", at positions 506 to 784 of the family's 1533-position model. The record is from RNAcentral.
UGCCAGCCGCCGCGGUAAUACGGAGGGUGCAAGCGUUGUCCGGAUUCAUUGGGUUUAAAGGGUGCGUAGGCGGUAUUGUAAGUCAGUGGUGAAAUCUUGCGGCUUAACCGUAAAGCUGCCAUUGAUACUGCAGUACUGGAGUUCGUUCGAGGUGGUUGGAAUGCGUAGUGUAGCGGUGAAAUGCAUAGAUAUUACGCAGAACACCGAUUGCGAAGGCAGAUCACUGGGACGAUACUGACGCUGAGGCACGAAAGCGUGGGGAGCGAACAGGAUUAGAUA